Molecule: long non-coding RNA, 1167 nt
Organism: Salvia splendens (bonfire salvia)
Lineage: Eukaryota; Viridiplantae; Streptophyta; Magnoliopsida; Lamiales; Lamiaceae
Exons: 3
Source: RefSeq, a predicted model, not a curated record
ACAAAUAAUCUUUGAAUUCCAGAGGCAACUUGGCGUAACCUUUAGGGCUUGAAUGGUACCUGUGAAAAAGGCAAUAAUAGGGUGGGAAAGUGGGAAAAGGUUACUGUUUGUGCUCAUUUUCCUAUCUUUGGUAGCUAUGAAAACUAUCGGGUGACCCGGUAUAAAAUCACCGGGUUUCAUAGGAGUGGAGAUAAUUAUCGGUGUUGAAGGGAAAAUCUUGUCGGCAGAAUUUGGUGGUAUAAAGUUUAUCUCUCUUUCUCAGAAAUCUCUAAUCAACGAUUUCUCCCAAAUUUGCCCUCAAACCUCUCCAACUGCAACACCCUACCUCUCCAACUGCAACCCCGCGACACGAAGAAGACGCAUUGCCGGCAGCGAUUUCAACUUUUCGAGACAGCCAAGUGCAAGAAUUGCUCAGAUUGUAAAGUUGUAGAAUUGUGUCUGUGGACUUCUCUUCUCCAAUCUCUCAUUGCUCCCACCACCCCCACUGCAUUCCAGUUUGUUUAAGAUGGUUAAAGAAAGACAACGAAAGAUGAAGGAGGCGGAGACAGUUGUAAUUAUGAUUGAGGACAUUGUGAGGACACAACAACAAGACCUGCUCACAAUUUUGAACAUGGUCUAGACAAUUAUUACCUCGUCGAAUAUUGGAAAUAAUGAACUCAACUAUCACCUACAACAUGUCGUCAAAGCUUCCUGCUCAAGUGAGACACAUGGAUAGACUGUUUGGUCUAACUGAUAGAGACUGCAUCAGCAACCUCCGAAUGGAUCGCAAUGCAUUUGGGCGUUUAUGUCGGAUUCUACGCGACAGGUGCGGUUUGGUUGAUCAAAGAUACGUCCGAGUGGAGGAGCAGGUUGCAAUGUUUAUAUGGAUUUGGAGUGAGUGAGUUGUGGGAUUCCAGCUAUAUGUUUAUAUAGAGGAAGCACGUUUCUGUUGAUGGCGCCAAACUCAAGGAACUUAGGCGCCAAUUUUUUGGCAGGAAGAAUGAAGAAGAGUGGAUGGUAAUUUCAUGUCCCAAAAGGGUAUUAUUGUCAUCACAAGUAUUGUCAUCAUGUGGGAACAUAUCUCAUAUCUGCUACCAAACAUAGGUAUAUACAAUUUCUGAAUUCUCAAAAAUGCUACCGAACACUGGAAUAUAUGAAAAAUACUAUCUCCCAACUUGUGAAAAAUUA